Molecule: ribosomal RNA, 320 nt
Filed under: uncultured bacterium
Lineage: Bacteria
Description: bacterial SSU rRNA
Rfam family: Bacterial small subunit ribosomal RNA
Source: RNAcentral
GCUCGUGUCGUGAGAUGUUGGGUUAAGUCCCGCAACGAGCGCAACCCUUGACCUUAGUUGCCAGCAUUGAGUUGGGCACUCUAAGGUGACUGCCGGUGACAAACCGGAGGAAGGUGGGGAUGACGUCAAAUCAUCAUGCCCCUUAUGACCUGGGCUACACACGUGCUACAAUGGAUGGUACAAAGGGCUGCGAGACCGCGAGGUUAAGCCAAUCCCAGAAAACCAUUCCCAGUUCGGAUUGCAGGCUGCAACCCGCCUGCAUGAAGCCGGAAUCGCUAGUAAUCGCGGAUCAGCAUGCCGCGGUGAAUACGUUCCCGGGC